Molecule: unclassified non-coding RNA, 22 nt
Filed under: Trichinella spiralis
Lineage: Eukaryota; Metazoa; Nematoda; Enoplea; Trichinellida; Trichinellidae
Description: trans-spliced leader SL-7
Source: RNAcentral
AACCUGCACGACUUGUUCGAAG